AGCGAACGCUGGCGGCAGGCUUAACACAUGCAAGUCGAGCGGGCACUUUCGGGUGUCAGCGGCGGACGGGUGAGUAACGCGUGGGAACGUGCCCGCUGGUUCGGAAUAACUCAGGGAAACUUGAGCUAAUACCGGAUACGCCCUUUUGGGGAAAGGCUUGCUGCCGGAGGAUCGGCCCGCGUCUGAUUAGCUAGUUGGUGAGGUAACGGCUCACCAAGGCGACGAUCAGUAGCUGGUCUGAGAGGAUGAUCAGCCACACUGGGACUGAGACACGGCCCAGACUCCUACGGGAGGCAGGAGUGGGGAAUAUUGGAAAAUGGGGGCAAGCAUGAUCGAGCCAUGCCGGGUGAGUGAUGAAGGCCUUAGGGUUGUAAAGCUCUUUUAUCCGGGACGAUAAUGACGGUACCGGAGGAAUAAGCCCCGGCUAACUUCGUG
This 435-nucleotide ribosomal RNA is filed under the name uncultured bacterium. Its description in RNAcentral is "partial 16S ribosomal RNA". It matches the Rfam family "Bacterial small subunit ribosomal RNA", at positions 29 to 507 of the family's 1533-position model. The record is from RNAcentral.